RNAcentral lists this unclassified non-coding RNA (336 nucleotides) under Hevea brasiliensis (rubber tree). The record is from RNAcentral. Lineage: Eukaryota; Viridiplantae; Streptophyta; Magnoliopsida; Malpighiales; Euphorbiaceae.
GGCGCACUGAUCCCAUAAUCCUCUCCAGCUCUGAACCCAAAGGGACCAAAGCUAACAUAUUAAACAGAACAUGCAGUAGAGAACCAUGAAACAGAAUUGAGGUGAAAAUCCUGUAAACUUGAAAUCGAGAAAUUACAGCAGAUGGCCAGAAGCAUACUUCAGCAAAUGAGUCAUACCCAACCAGAAGACAAACCAAGUAUAUUAUCCCACAAACAACCACUAUUGCAGAUGUAAGGAUAGGAAUUCCUUCCCACCACUGUCCCAUCCUUGUCUGUAGUCCCGCCUCAGAAACAAUAUUUGGUCUCAUUUUCGCUGAGUUUUUUCUUCUUCUUCUUC